ACAAGUACCGUGAGGGAAAGUUGAAAAGCACUUUGAAAAGAGAGUGCAAGAGAACGUGAAACCGUUAUAGUGGAAACAGAUAGAGUUGACGUAUCUAGUGCGUAUUCAGCUUGAUUGUUUUGUGAUUUGGAGGCUUGGAGUUCUGUAAAGUCUCCUGCUUUCAUUGUUGCAUUGCAAUAAAGUGCAUUUGCGUACAGAGUGCGCCGAAUCGAUUGAGUUCGCUGUUUGAAAAUCGUAGAGAGGACCAACUUGUUGGAACCCUAGACGAUUGAAUGGCAGAUGAGCUUGGUCGUCAAAAUGGGCUGGUAUUUCGUGGCAGUAGUUGCAAAUUGAGGCUGUCUAUGUACGAUGCAUGCGUUUUGCAUUUAUGGCUUUAGUUUGUGGCGAUUGCUGCUCUGCCCUUCAUUCGGUGUUUAGUCAAUACCUAUUUGACCCGUCUUGAAACACGGACCAAGGAGUUUAAGGUGUACGCAAGUCAUUGAUUGUUAAAAGUCAUAGGCGUAAUGAAAGUGGGGCACUUGGUGUCUGUGAUGUGAGCUUUUUUGAUCUCGAUCGACUGAGCGCAACAUCGACCCAUGACUAGGAUUUAUUCUGUUGUGGAGUCUGAGCGUACGCUUUGAGACCCGAAAGAUGGUGAACUAUGCCCGAACAGGACGAAGUCAGAGGAAACUCUGAUGGAAGUCCGAAGCGGUUCUGACGUGCAAAUCGAUCGUCUGAUUUGGGUAUAGGGGCGCAAGACUAAUCGAACCAUCUAGUAGCUGGUUCCUUCCGA
RNAcentral lists this ribosomal RNA (772 nucleotides) under Aphelenchoides sp. E2122. Its description in RNAcentral is "eukaryotic LSU rRNA". It matches the Rfam family "Eukaryotic large subunit ribosomal RNA", at positions 344 to 964 of the family's 3401-position model. Lineage: Eukaryota; Metazoa; Nematoda; Chromadorea; Rhabditida; Aphelenchoididae. The record is from RNAcentral.